AUAUAGAUAAUGUAAAUAACAUAUUGGCUCUUCAUCCCAAAAAUGCAUUCCUUGCUCUGUAUA
Molecule: transfer RNA, 63 nt
Filed under: Chaetopterus variopedatus
Lineage: Eukaryota; Metazoa; Annelida; Polychaeta; Chaetopteridae
Description: tRNA-Glu
Source: RNAcentral